UCUUCCUUGGUCUAGUGGUCAUGAUUUCCGCUUGUCAUUCACUCCAGAGUGAGAAGCGCGGGAGACCGGGGUUCGAUUCCCCGAGGGAGAG
Lophiotrema nucula is the source of this 91-nucleotide non-coding RNA. The record is from the annotation of a GenBank genome assembly. Lineage: Eukaryota; Fungi; Ascomycota; Dothideomycetes; Pleosporales; Lophiotremataceae.